RNAcentral lists this transfer RNA (152 nucleotides) under Arabidopsis thaliana (thale cress). The record is from RNAcentral. Lineage: Eukaryota; Viridiplantae; Streptophyta; Magnoliopsida; Brassicales; Brassicaceae.
UAUUUUUUGGAUAGAUAUUUAAAUAAUCUUCUUAUUGGAGGCAUCGCUUUUUGUUGGUGAUCUAGUAUUUGAUAUCAGUUCCAAACUUGACCAACAUACUCAAUCAUCUCCCACACAUAAUCCCAAAGUUGGGUUAUCUCCAAUGGAAGUAU